UAGUCGCUUGGCCGAUUGGAUUAGGCAAAGGUCUACGAAGCCUUUUAGAGUGGUUCGAUCCCACUAGUGACUACCAA
Molecule: transfer RNA, 77 nt
Filed under: Pseudomonas phage Kremar
Lineage: Duplodnaviria; Heunggongvirae; Uroviricota; Caudoviricetes; Vandenendeviridae
Description: tRNA-Arg
Rfam family: tRNA
About the family: Transfer RNA (tRNA) molecules are approximately 80 nucleotides in length. Their secondary structure includes four short double-helical elements and three loops (D, anti-codon, and T loops). Further hydrogen bonds mediate the characteristic L-shaped molecular structure. tRNAs have two regions of fundamental functional importance: the anti-codon, which is responsible for specific mRNA codon recognition, and the 3' end, to which the tRNAs corresponding amino acid is attached (by aminoacyl-tRNA synthetases). tRNAs cope with the degeneracy of the genetic code in two manners: having more than one tRNA (with a specific anti-codon) for a particular amino acid; and 'wobble' base-pairing, i.e. permitting non-standard base-pairing at the 3rd anti-codon position.
Source: RNAcentral